AGGAAUCUGCCUAUUAGUGGGGGACAACAUCUCGAAAGGGAUGCUAAUACCGCAUACGUCCUACGGGAGAAAGCAGGGGACCUUCGGGCCUUGCGCUAAUAGAUGAACCUAAGUCGGAUUAGCUAGUUGGUGGGGUAAAGGCCUACCAAGGCGACGAUCUGUAGCGGGUCUGAGAGGAUGAUCCGCCACACUGGGACUGAGACACGGCCCAGACUCCUACGGGAGGCAGCAGUGGGGAAUAUUGGACAAUGGGGGGAACCCUGAUCCAGCCAUGCCGCGUGUGUGAAGAAGGCCUUUUGGUUGUAAAGCACUUUAAGCGAGGAGGAGGCUACCGAGAUUAAUACUCUUGGAUAGUGGACGUUACUCGCAGAAUAAGCACCGGCUAACUCUGUGCCAGCAGCCGCGGUAAUACAGAGGGUGCAAGCGUUAAUCGGAUUUACUGGGCGUAAAGCGCGCGUAGGUGGCCAAUUAAGUCAAAUGUGAAAUCCCCGAGCUUAACUUGGGAAUUGCAUUCGAUACUGGUUGGCUAGAGUAUGGGAGAGGAUGGUAGAAUUCCAGGU
RNAcentral lists this ribosomal RNA (560 nucleotides) under uncultured bacterium. Its description in RNAcentral is "bacterial SSU rRNA". It matches the Rfam family "Bacterial small subunit ribosomal RNA", at positions 119 to 674 of the family's 1533-position model. The record is from RNAcentral.